UCCUACGGGAGGCAGCAGUGGGGAAUAUUGCGCAAUGGGGGAAACCCUGACGCAGCGACGCCCCGUGAGCGAAGAAGGCCUUAGGGUCGUAAAGCUCUGUUGUAAGGGACGAAGAGUCAUAUUGCGAACAGUGAUAUGAAUUGACGGUACCUAACCAGCAAGCCCCGGCUAACUACGUGCCAGCAGCCGCGGUAAUA
Molecule: ribosomal RNA, 197 nt
Filed under: uncultured bacterium
Lineage: Bacteria
Description: partial 16S ribosomal RNA
Rfam family: Bacterial small subunit ribosomal RNA
Source: RNAcentral